This 383-nucleotide long non-coding RNA is filed under the name Populus trichocarpa (black cottonwood). RNAcentral's name for it is "long non-coding RNA (PTRI_LNC004717)". The record is from RNAcentral. Lineage: Eukaryota; Viridiplantae; Streptophyta; Magnoliopsida; Malpighiales; Salicaceae.
AUGGCCCACACACCUUCUGCCUGAGGUGUCUCCGCUCAUCGUCAUGUGGCGGUUUGUACUUGGGCUCGUUUUAUGGCCCACACCUUCUAUUUGAGGUGUCUCCGCUCAUCAUGAAGCGGUCACAUCCUCCUUCAUCGGGGAUGUCUCCAGUGACUCCAAGAUUCUCUACCACCAUGUGGACUUGGGAGAGAUCACUGCCACUGAUCACAUAGAAAGAGAGAGUUGCGUUAUACUCCUCGCAAUUCUCCACCUCGAUUUCUAUGUUUGGAGCUUCUACGCCUUUCUGCUUGAUAGCUCCACCCAUACCAACUCUCUUUGGUGUCUUCGCCUUUCAUCGGCGGUCGCACCCCCUUAAUUAGGUGCUUCUGCAACAGCUCAUCUUU